This 598-nucleotide ribosomal RNA is filed under the name uncultured bacterium. RNAcentral's name for it is "bacterial SSU rRNA". It matches the Rfam family "Bacterial small subunit ribosomal RNA", at positions 28 to 612 of the family's 1533-position model. The record is from RNAcentral.
GAUGAACGCUAGCUACAGGCUUAACACAUGCCCGUUGAGGGGCAGCAUUUUAGUUUGCUUGCAAACUAAAGAUGCGCUACCGGCGCACGGGUGAGUAACACGUAUCCAACCUGCCGAUAACUCGGGGAUAGCCUUUCGAAAGAAAGAUUAAUAUCCGAUGGUAUAUUAAAACCGCAUGGUUUUACUAUUAAAGAAUUUCGGUUAUCGAUGGGGAUGCGUUCCAUUAGUUUGUUGGCGGGGUAACGGCCCACCAAGACUACGAUGGAUAGGGGUUCUGAGAGGAAGGUCCCCCACAUUGGAACUGAGACACGGUCCAAACUCCUACGGGAGGCAGCAGUGAGGAAUAUUGGUCAAUGGACGAGAGUCUGAACCAGCCAAGUAGCGUGAAGGAUUAUUGUUUCUAUGGGUUGUAAACUUCUUUUAUAUGGGAAUAAAGUAUUCCACGUGUGGGAUUUUGUAUGUACCAUAUGAAUAAGGAUCGGCUAACUCCGUGCCAGCAGCCGCGGUAAUACGGAGGAUCCGAGCGUUAUCCGGAUUUAUUGGGUUUAAAGGGAGCGUAGGUGGAUUGUUAAGUCAGUUGUGAAAGUUUGCGGCUCAA